AACGAACGCUGGCGGCAUGCCUAACACAUGCAAGUCGAACGAGACCUUCGGGUCUAGUGGCGCACGGGUGCGUAACGCGUGGGGACCUGCCCUUAGGUUCGGAAUAACUCCCCGAAAGGGGUGCUAAUACCGGAUAAUGUCUUCGGACCAAAGAUUUAUCGCCUUUGGAUGGGCCCGCGUUGGAUUAGCUAGUUGGUAGGGUAAAAGCCUACCAAGGCGACGAUCCAUAGCUGGUAUGAGAGGAUGAUCAGCCACACUGGGACUGAGACACGGCCCAGACUCCUACGGGAGGCAGCAGAGGGGAAUAUUGGAAAAUGGGCGAAAGCAUGAUCCAGCAAUGACGCGUGAGUGAUGAAGGCCUUAGGGUUGUAAAGCUCUUUUACCCGGGAUGAUAAUGACAGUACCGGGAGAAUAAGCUCCGGCUAACUCCGUG
This 433-nucleotide ribosomal RNA is filed under the name uncultured bacterium. RNAcentral's name for it is "partial 16S ribosomal RNA". It matches the Rfam family "Bacterial small subunit ribosomal RNA", at positions 29 to 507 of the family's 1533-position model. The record is from RNAcentral.